RNAcentral lists this ribosomal RNA (422 nucleotides) under Salmonella enterica subsp. enterica serovar Heidelberg. RNAcentral's name for it is "partial 23S ribosomal RNA". It matches the Rfam family "Bacterial large subunit ribosomal RNA", at positions 97 to 559 of the family's 2925-position model. Lineage: Bacteria; Pseudomonadati; Pseudomonadota; Gammaproteobacteria; Enterobacterales; Enterobacteriaceae. The record is from RNAcentral. RNAcentral also lists the same sequence under 4 other names.
GUUAUAACCGGCGAUACCCGAAUGGGGAAACCCAGUGUGACUCGUCACACUAUCAUUAACUGAAUCCAUAGGUUAAUGAGGCGAACCGGGGGAACUGAAACAUCUAAGUACCCCGAGGAAAAGAAAUCAACCGAGAUUCCCCCAGUAGCGGCGAGCGAACGGGGAGGAGCCCAGAGCCUGAAUCAGCAUGUGUGUUAGUGGAAGCGUCUGGAAAGGCGCGCGAUACAGGGUGACAGCCCCGUACACAAAAGCGCAUGUGCUGUGAGCUCGAUGAGUAGGGCGGGACACGUGGUAUCCUGUCUGAAUAUGGGGGGACCAUCCUCCAAGGCUAAAUACUCCUGACUGACCGAUAGUGAACCAGUACCGUGAGGGAAAGGCGAAAAGAACCCCGGCGAGGGGAGUGAAAAAGAACCUGAAACCGU